Molecule: ribosomal RNA, 253 nt
Filed under: uncultured bacterium
Lineage: Bacteria
Description: partial 16S ribosomal RNA
Rfam family: Bacterial small subunit ribosomal RNA
Source: RNAcentral
UACAGAGGUCCCAAGCGUUGUUCGGAUUCACUGGGCGUAAAGGGUGCGUAGGUGGUGAGGUAAGUCGGAUGUGAAAUCUCCAGGCUCAGCCUGGAAAUGGCAUCGGAAACUACCUUGCUCGAGGUUUGGAGGGGGGACUGGAAUACUUGGUGUAGCAGUGAAAUGCGUAGAUAUCAAGUGGAACACCAGUGGCGAAGGCGAGUCCCUGGACAAAACCUGACACUGAGGCACGAAAGCUAGGGGAGCAAACAGG